Dicentrarchus labrax (European seabass) is the source of this 1965-nucleotide long non-coding RNA. RefSeq lists it as uncharacterized. NCBI's taxonomy places the organism in Eukaryota, Metazoa, Chordata, Actinopteri, Moronidae. The record is from RefSeq and is a predicted model, not a curated record. The transcript is spliced from 3 exons.
ACCUAUAAAGCUCUUCAUGGUCAGGCCCCUUCAUAUCUUAAAGAGCUCAUAGUACCCUAUUACCCCACUAGAACACUACGUUCUCUGAAUGCUGGGCUACUUGUGGUUCCUAUAGUCUCUAAAAGUAGAACAGGAGCCAGAGCCUUCAGUUACCAAGCUCCUCUCCUGUGGAACCAGCUUCCAGUUGUGGUUCGGGAGGCAGACACCCUCACCACUUUCAAGAGUAGGCUUAAGACAUUCCUCUUUGAUAAAGCUUAUAGUUAGGCCUGGAUCAGGUGAGUCCUGAACCAUCCCUUAGUUAUGCUGCUAUAGGCCUAGACUAUCGGGGGAUUUCCCAUGGUGCACUGAGCUACUCUCUUCCUCUCUCUUUCUGCACUCAUUCAUGUCCCUUUAAUGCAUGUUACUAACUCCACUUCUUCCCCGGAGUUCUUGUGCUUUCUCGUCUCGCAGGUUCUCAUGGAUCCUGGUGGAGCCUCCUGCCAUGGUCCUGCUUGACUGCCAUUGCCAAUACUGUUGUUGCUGUGCACCUGUCUGUCUGUCGCUCUCUCUCUCUCUCUCUCUCUCUCUCUCUCUCUCUCUCUCUCUCUCUCUCUCUCUCACCCCAACUGGUCGAGACAGACGACCACCCACCUAGAGCCGGAGGAUCUGUCCUAGGUUUCUGCCUUUUAACAGGCAGUUUUUCCUUGCCCUUGUCGCCAAGUGCUUGCUCAUGGUGGUACUGUUGGGUCUCUGUAAUUAAUGUUAAAGAGUUCGGUCUAGACCUGCUCUAUUUGAAAAGUGUCCUGAGAUAACUUCUGUUAUGAAUUGGCGCUAUACAAAUAAAAUUGAAUUGAAUUGAAUUGAAUUGGUGUUGAAGUUCCCACUGACAGCAAGAUAAUUCAUAUGACUGAUUUGUGAAACAUAUAACCUAUUAAAUCCCAUCACUUUAUUGCUGACCCAAUUACCAACAAGAUGAUGCUGCCAAAGACAAAAGAAUAUGAUGACGCUGCAGAUGAAGGGGUCCCCCUAAACGAGGACAUCAAUGCCCGGACACACUCCACACACUCCCUCAUUAAUUUAAUCAUUUUUGGCAGGUCUAGAUGAAAGUAAUAAUAAGUGGGAAAACAUUUGGUUUGUUAGUUAGCAAAAGUAAUGGUACUUAAGCUCAAUACAGGACAAUAAAUAAUGUGGAAACACCCUGAAUCAUUGUUUAAUAAACAUAAUGUGUUCUGACAUGUCAACCCCUCUAAUUCUAAUCCUAACACCCAUCGUGAAGGGAUGACAUGAUUUCAUUCAUUCCAAGUGCCAUGCCAUGACCAGUAUUAUUAUCCGUCAGCUUCUUCAAGAGAGAAUGAGAGGAUUAGAAUCACAUUAAACUUCAUUAAGACAAACACUACAGUUUGUCCAGCUGUCAUGCUGACUGACUGAUCUGUGUAUGACAAUCUGACUGCUGUGAUCCAAUCCUGUGCACACUUUGUAGGGCAAUAAAGAUUUAUGAUUGUAAUUAUAAUAAAUGCUGUUCUAAAAGGUACUAUAUAAAUAGUUUUUUAUUAUUAUCAGCCCUUAUUUGUUAUUAGUGAGAAUAUUUUUAGACACACACGUGUGCAUGCGCAUGCUUUUGACUUCUAUACUUUAUUUCUCAAAGGAAAUACAGUAUGUUUAAAGGACACUCUUCUAAUCCACACUAACGUGUGGGACAAAACAUUAAUGAAAGGUGUUUGAAAAUGAUUAUAUUGUUGAAUAUAUUAAAUAAAAGUAAAUGAAAUACAUUAUGCUUAGUUGGCAUGCACAUGACCAAAAGGAGUUUAUAUGUGAAAACAAGAUAUGUGAGAUUAAGUUUUCCAUGCAGUUGGGUGUAAGAUCUCUGACCUUUGCCUGACCUUUUCAUUCAAUAUAAUAUAAUUUUACCAUAAUAAUAUAAUAUUCAAUAUAAAUGUACUUGCCCUUCUCUGGGCUGAGGAGAAACCCAACUCUUCAUCUGAAGCA